UGGUUAGAGCGCACCCCUGAUAAGGGUGAGGUCGGAAGUUCGAGUCUUCCCAGGCCCA
RNAcentral lists this transfer RNA (58 nucleotides) under Planctomycetaceae bacterium. Its description in RNAcentral is "tRNA-Ser". It matches the Rfam family "tRNA", at positions 16 to 71 of the family's 71-position model. Rfam says of the family: Transfer RNA (tRNA) molecules are approximately 80 nucleotides in length. Their secondary structure includes four short double-helical elements and three loops (D, anti-codon, and T loops). The record is from RNAcentral. Lineage: Bacteria; Pseudomonadati; Planctomycetota; Planctomycetia; Planctomycetales; Planctomycetaceae.